AGUGAACGCUGGCGGUAGGCCUAACACAUGCAAGUCGAACGGCAGCACAGUAAGAGCUUGCUCUUACGGGUGGCGAGUGCCGGGCGGGUGAGGAAUACAUCGGAAUCUACUUUUUCGUGGGGGAUAUCGUAGGGAAAAUUACGCUAAUACCGCAUACGACCUACGGGUGAAAGCAGGGGCUCUUCGGACCUUGCGCGAUUGAAUGAGCCGAUGCCGGAGUAGCUAGUUGGCGGGGUAAAGGCCCACCAAGGCGACGAUCCGUAGCUGGUCUGAGAGGAUGAUCAGCCACACUGGAAGUGAGACACGGUCCAGACUCCUACGGUAGGAAGCAGUGGGGAAUAUUGGACAAAGGGCGCAAGCCUGAUCCAGCCAUACCGCGUGGGUGAAGAAGGCCUUAGGGUUGUAAAGCCCUUUUGUUGGGAAAGAAAAGCAGCAGGUUAAUACCCCGCUGUUCUGACGGUACCCAAAGAAUAAGCACCGGCUAACUUCGUG
This 492-nucleotide ribosomal RNA is filed under the name uncultured bacterium. RNAcentral describes it as "partial 16S ribosomal RNA". It matches the Rfam family "Bacterial small subunit ribosomal RNA", at positions 29 to 507 of the family's 1533-position model. The record is from RNAcentral.